UGUUUGACAGGAAUGCUCUGAAGUACAGA
RNAcentral lists this non-coding RNA (29 nucleotides) under Mus musculus (house mouse). The record is from RNAcentral. Lineage: Eukaryota; Metazoa; Chordata; Mammalia; Rodentia; Muridae.